This 768-nucleotide long non-coding RNA is filed under the name Gossypium barbadense (sea-island cotton). Its description in RNAcentral is "long non-coding RNA (GBAR_LNC000888)". The record is from RNAcentral. Lineage: Eukaryota; Viridiplantae; Streptophyta; Magnoliopsida; Malvales; Malvaceae.
CCGGCCCGUCAGAAAACCCAACAGUAAUGAUAAAACCCAAAGAAUUAAAAAGUCCAAAAUUAUUAAAAUCUAUUUACAAAAACCCAAAUCACAUUUAACCCAAUUCCUACAGGCCCAAAAGGCCCAAUGGCCUAAAACAAUUUAGAAACCCUAGGGUUUCCGAAUCACCCUUGCGCCGUACACCCUCCAUGUGCGCCCUUGGCAUGCACACUGCCCAAAGUUUGACUUUGCCUUCGACCUUACACCAAAAUAGCAUGUUUUCACCGCCGUUGACCCCCCUAGGCCUGCAAAACAGAAGCAAAAAAAAAAAAGAGAGAAAGCAAAGAAGAAAGCAAAGCAAAACAAUAACAAAUAGUCAUUGUAUUCGGCUAUAAAUAGGCCUCAGACAAACAAUGUAAUUUUUUACGAUACAUAUCAAUCAAAACAGAGAAUUUUUGAGAGGAAAAGGUGAUUUUUUUUAUAAGUUUAUUCCAAAUAACGCAUACAUAUAUACAUACUUUAAAUAAAAAGGGGAUUUUUCUCACAUUCUUCAAGUCGGCGAAGUUUGAAUCGAAGAGUUCCCUUGUUUUUUUUCCGGUUCUCUAGCGGUUUUUGGUCUUUUUAAACCCAGAUUUGAGUCGGGGAAGGAAACCGGGUUGAAAAGGGGGCGAUUUCGUGCCUCCGGCCACCAUGUACGGUGGUCACCGGCGACAGACCAACGGUGGCCCGAUCGCCGGAGAAGGAAACCCUAAAGAGAAACCCCUUCCCCUUUUUCCUUUUUUUUUUCAG